GGGGGGGGGGGGAGGUCGUCAAAAAAAUUUUGUUCCGGAAAAAUUUUUUUUGAACCAGUCGGUUGAAUUGAAUUACACCCCCCCUGAAAAAUUUCCUGAGGACGGCCCUGCUAACAUGAAUGUUUUAUAAAUGCAAUUAUCUCCCAACGAUUAAAUCGACUCGUUUACAUCCAAGGAAGCAAAGUAGUGACAUUUGUGAAACCAGUGAGAAUGGAUACGCCUCAUGGAACCAGACAUUCAAUUGACUAAAAAAUGCAUAAGGCCAUAUACUGUACAAUACUCAUUGCAAUUGUGUCUCUAAUAUAACAGUGUAUCCCAUAUAUCCCUAUAUGUAGUAAUGGGUUCUGAAAGAUCCCCUGGAGGGACCUCAGCUUCUUCGGUUUGACUAGACAAUCUCGAACCUAUACUGCACUGAGCGUAAAAAGCAUGCAAUCGUUAGGCGACAAAAUCAUUAUUUUUCUAUAUGCUAUAUAUUUUAUAUGCAUUAAAUGUAUAUUCCUGUCUCAGUGAAACCCAUUAAAACUGGGCAUGAAUUCCGGCUAUACUCUUUUUAAAAUGAAUACUUAAAUCGUAAAAAAGCCAAAACGCACCCGCUGUAUGGUAGUCACAAUCGAUACAGAUUAACAAACUAUUUCAACAAAUCUCUAUACCGUUUAAAUAAUCAAUGAACUUAAUAUAAAUCUCCAAUAGUUUCGAAAUUCUCAUCAUUUGUAAUGACUGCUUCAUUUCCCUCCAUUUCGCUGUACAGUUUGUGAAACUUUCUAGCUGAAAUAAGUAGGAACAACGCCCACUUGAAAGUCAUGAAUCCCCAAACAAUCACCACGUAACUUCCUUUGGGGUUCAAAUCUAAAAAAAGGAUUCACAUUUGAAGGCAACUGCAUAAGCGUAUGAGACUGCAGUGGCAGGGAAGCA
This 912-nucleotide long non-coding RNA is filed under the name Paramuricea clavata. The record is from RNAcentral. Lineage: Eukaryota; Metazoa; Cnidaria; Anthozoa; Malacalcyonacea; Plexauridae.